GGGCGACGGAAGCGGGAAAAGCCCACAUUGGUAAUCUCCGAGCUUGGGCUCGGCGAAUUGUAAUCUGAAGAUCGCUAGUCUAAUUGGAUCAGGCGUCAAAGUGCGCACGAGCGCGCCGCCAUAGAGGGUGAGAGCCCCGUACGACGCAGGAUCCUACCAAGGCUGGUGUUCGAAGAGUCGUGUACUUUGAUACUAGUGCACUAAGCGGGAGAUAAACUUCUUCUAAGGCUAAAUAUAAGUAGGAAACCGAUAGCGAACAAGUACUGUGAAGGAAAGAUGAAAAGCACUUUGGAAAGAAAGUUAAAAGACUUGAAAUCGUUGAGGCGGACCCGGUAGAAAUGUAUUCUAGCGAAGCGCUCUGGGAAGCCUCUACGGGGGCCACUUGAGCGCUAGCCGAGACAAGAUGGAGUCGCCUGAUGCCAGAGGCUGUGUGCGAGCGUGCUUGCAUGAGCGCAUGCUAGUCGGGUGUUAGGCGGCUUGAGGGGCCUUGAGCGAUCUUGUCAAAAUGGUUUUUACCGACUCGUCUUGAAACACGAACCAAGGAGUCUAAGACUAACGCGAGUAUGGUGGUGGAGAAACCAACAUGCGAAAUGAAAGUAAAUGAUGCCAAGCUCCCUGCAGCAUCGACCGACUUUUUUCUAU
Molecule: ribosomal RNA, 642 nt
Filed under: Tintinnopsis baltica
Lineage: Eukaryota; Ciliophora; Spirotrichea; Tintinnida; Codonellidae
Description: LSU rRNA
Rfam family: Eukaryotic large subunit ribosomal RNA
Source: RNAcentral